CCUACGGGGGGCAGCAGUGGGGAAUAUUGCGCAAUGGGCGCAAGCCUGACGCAGCGACGCCGCGUGCGGGAUGAAGGUCUUCGGAUCGUAAACCUCUGUCAGCAGGGAAGAACGGUCACUGUGCUAAUCAGCAGUGAAUUGACGGUACCUGCAAAGGAAGCACCGGCUAACUCCGUGCCAGCAGCCGCGGUAAUACGGAGGGUGCGAGCGUUAAUCGGAAUUACUGGGCGUAAGGCGCUCGUAGGCGGUAUGUCAAGUCAAGGGUGAAAUCCCCGCGCUCAACGUGGGAACUGCCUUUGAAACUGGCGAACUAGAGUGUAGUAGAGGAUGGUGGAAUUCCAGGUGUAGGGGUGAAAUCCGUAGAUAUCUGGAGGAACAACAGUGGCGAAGGCGACUAUCUGGCACAUAACUGACGCUGAGGAGCGAAAGCGUGGGUAGCAAACAGGAUUAGAUACCCCAGUAGUC
RNAcentral lists this ribosomal RNA (465 nucleotides) under uncultured bacterium. RNAcentral's name for it is "partial 16S ribosomal RNA". It matches the Rfam family "Bacterial small subunit ribosomal RNA", at positions 338 to 795 of the family's 1533-position model. The record is from RNAcentral.